GUUUCUUUGGUGUAAAGGACAGCACGCAACACUACGAAUGUUGUAAUAAAGGUUCGAAUCCUUUAAGGAACA
RNAcentral lists this transfer RNA (72 nucleotides) under Caudoviricetes sp. RNAcentral describes it as "tRNA-Arg". It matches the Rfam family "tRNA". Rfam says of the family: Transfer RNA (tRNA) molecules are approximately 80 nucleotides in length. Lineage: Duplodnaviria; Heunggongvirae; Uroviricota; Caudoviricetes. The record is from RNAcentral.